ACGCUGGCGGCAUGCCUUACACAUGCAAGUCGAACGGCAGCACGGAGCUUGCUCUGGUGGCGAGUGGCGAACGGGUGAGUAAUAUAUCGGAACGUACCCUGGAGUGGGGGAUAACGUAGCGAAAGUUACGCUAAUACCGCAUACGAUCUAAGGAUGAAAGUGGGGGAUCGCAAGACCUCAUGCUCGUGGAGCGGCCGAUAUCUGAUUAGCUAGUUGGUAGGGUAAAAGCCUACCAAGGCAUCGAUCAGUAGCUGGUCUGAGAGGACGACCAGCCACACUGGAACUGAGACACGGUCCAGACUCCUACGGGAGGCAGCAGUGGGGAAUUUUGGACAAUGGGCGCAAGCCUGAUCCAGCAAUGCCGCGUGAGUGAAGAAGGCCUUCGGGUUGUAAAGCUCUUUUGUCAGGGAAGAAACGGUGAGGGCUAAUAUCUUUUGCUAAUGACGGUACCUGAAGAAUAAGCACCGGCUAACUACGUGCCAGCAGCCGCGGUAAUACGUAGGGUGCAAGCGUUAAUCGGAAUUACUGGGCGUAAAGCGUGCGCAGGCGGUUUUGUAAGUCUGAUGUGAAAUCCCCGGGCUCAACCUGGGAAUUGCAUUGGAGACUGCAAGGCUAGAAUCUGGCAGAGGGGGGUAGAAUUCCACGUGUAGCAGUGAAAUGCGUAGAUAUGUGGAGGAACACCGAUGGCGAAGGCAGCCCCCUGGGUCAAGAUUGACGCUCAUGCACGAAAGCGUGGGGAGCAAAC
Molecule: ribosomal RNA, 745 nt
Filed under: uncultured bacterium
Lineage: Bacteria
Description: bacterial SSU rRNA
Rfam family: Bacterial small subunit ribosomal RNA
Source: RNAcentral